GUGGAUAUAGCUCAGUGGUAGAGUGUAUGCUUAGCAUGCGUAACAUCCUGGGUUAAAUCCCUAGUACUGCCA
RNAcentral lists this transfer RNA (72 nucleotides) under Camelus bactrianus (Bactrian camel). It matches the Rfam family "tRNA". Rfam says of the family: Transfer RNA (tRNA) molecules are approximately 80 nucleotides in length. Lineage: Eukaryota; Metazoa; Chordata; Mammalia; Artiodactyla; Camelidae. The record is from Rfam by way of RNAcentral. RNAcentral also lists the same sequence under 1 other name.